CGGCUCGUUGGUCAAGAGGUUAAGACACCGCCCUUUCACGGCGGUAACAGGGGUUCAAUUCCCCUACGAGUCGUC
This 75-nucleotide transfer RNA is filed under the name Clostridioides difficile. RNAcentral describes it as "tRNA-Glu(ttc)". It matches the Rfam family "tRNA". From Rfam's summary of the family: Transfer RNA (tRNA) molecules are approximately 80 nucleotides in length. Their secondary structure includes four short double-helical elements and three loops (D, anti-codon, and T loops). The record is from RNAcentral. Lineage: Bacteria; Bacillati; Bacillota; Clostridia; Peptostreptococcales; Peptostreptococcaceae.